CCCUUAGAUGUUCGGGGCCGCACGCGCGCUACACUGAAGGAAUCAGCACGUCUUUCUCCUUGUCCGAAAGGACUGGGUAACCCGCUGAACCUCCUUCGUGCUAGGGAUUGGGGCUUGUAAUUCUUCCCCAUGAACGAGGAAUUCCCAGUAAGCGCGAGUCAUAAGCUCGCGUUGAUUACGUCCCUGCCCUUUGUACACACCGCCCGUCGCUACUACCGAUUGGAUGGUUUAGUGAGAUCCUCGGAUUGGUCCCGGAGCGGCCUCUGGUCGUGCCGGAGUGCUGAAAAGAAUGUCGAACUUGAUCAUCUAGAGGAAGUAAAAGUCGUAACA
RNAcentral lists this ribosomal RNA (330 nucleotides) under uncultured eukaryote. RNAcentral describes it as "partial 18S ribosomal RNA". It matches the Rfam family "Eukaryotic small subunit ribosomal RNA", at positions 1470 to 1796 of the family's 1831-position model. The record is from RNAcentral.